RNAcentral lists this long non-coding RNA (211 nucleotides) under Pan paniscus (pygmy chimpanzee). RNAcentral describes it as "lncRNA (ENSPPAG00000044440.1)". The record is from RNAcentral. Lineage: Eukaryota; Metazoa; Chordata; Mammalia; Primates; Hominidae.
CUGGGUGACGCCACGUUGCAGUGCCUGCCCCAGAGAGAACUGCAUGGACCAGGGAGCUGGUCCCAGAGCAGAAACAAUUGGUGAUGAGAUUUGGACUUCAGACAAGCCUAGAUUUGAACCUCACUUCUGCUACAUAUCAGCCAUCUGGCCAUCUGACUUCAUCUCUCUGAGCCCGUUCCCUCAUCUGAAAAACAAAUAUUGAUGCCUAAGG